UACGUAGGUCCCGAGCGUUGUCCGGAUUUAUUGGGCGUAAAGCGAGCGCAGGUGGUUUAUUAAGUCUGAUGUAAAAGGCAGUGGCUCAACCAUUGUGUGCAUUGGAAACUGUUAGACUUGAGUGCAGUAGAGGAGAGUGGAAUUCCAUGUGUAGCGGUGAAAUGCGUAGAUAUAUGGAGGAACACCGGUGGCGAAAGCGGCUCUCUGGACUGUAACUGACACUGAGGCUCGAAAGCGUGGGUAGCAAACAGG
RNAcentral lists this ribosomal RNA (252 nucleotides) under uncultured microorganism. Its description in RNAcentral is "partial 16S ribosomal RNA". It matches the Rfam family "Bacterial small subunit ribosomal RNA", at positions 524 to 776 of the family's 1533-position model. The record is from RNAcentral.